GGAGCUUCUGGGCAAGGACAGGUAUACUAAGCCUCUGAAUUCCUCCAGUUGUAGUAAAGGUCUGGUGUCACAUUACUGUUCAACCAGCCUAAGAAGACAGAAGACUAUCUCUAAGAAGAACAUUCUCCUAACCCAGAAUUGCUUCCCAGUCAGUAAUUUUAAUAUAUAAUUCUGAGAGCUUUGUUACAGACAGCACAAAAAUAAUUUUGUUCUUGUGGUUUCAGUGGUUCUGAGAAGCAACAGCAACACAUCCUGAGGAUGGUUUUCACCACAUUUGGGACAACGGCUCGGGCACCAGAGUUCACCAUGGGCACACUUGGACGACCAGGUCACUGCUUUCUGGAAAAAGCAGAGUAAACAUAACUACACCUUUGUCAUUGAGUCAUGCCAGCUUUUGAUUCUAUGCCCUAGUACUCUGCCAAGCAGACCAAAGUCUGAAGAGGCCAGUCUGCUCUUCUGGAGACCAGGGUAGUGAGCUUCUUGUGUGUCCUCAUUCAAAUUCCACCAUUUCAUGAUCACUACUUCCCAGGCUGUGCUUGAGCUUCACAUUCCCCACCAGUCUCUUCUUGUCAGCAAGAACAUAGUCCAGCAUAGCACCUCUGUCAUUGGUUCCCCUGUCACUUGGAGAAGGAGGUUAUGAUCAGUGCAUCCCAGGAGCCUCCUGGAUUGCCUGUGCCUGGCUUUGUUGUUCCUCCAACCAAUAUUGUGGUGGUUGAAGUCACUCAUAAAGACUAGAGCUUGUGAAUGCCCUGGUGUGUUUGAAGCAUCUGGGGAAAUCCCAAAAUUGUAUCAUUUCCCAAAAUGAGAAAAUACAUUCUAUUCUAGCAAUAACUCAGUAGUGUGUUAGCCAUCAAAGCUAAUUUUAAAAUAACACAUUCAAUUUUAAAAUACUGAGUAACUAUGAGCCAAAACCAGAGCAAUAAAUGGAGGAUCCUAACUGAGCAAGUAUAUUCAUAUUGGAGUUAUUUUAGGAAUUAUUUUUUGCUAUGUGUUAUUUAAUUCUUGUUUUAAAUGUCAUCAACAUUGCACAAAAUUAUUAAUGAUACUCACAGAUGACCCAAAAGAUUUGAGAUAUAAUAAACAAAGAUAGGUCAUUGAUACACACCAGAUGGCUUUAAUAAAUUGGGGGCAAACAGACAAGUGUUUUGUUGGUAACUAUUAAAGUAAAACAUUUGUGAACAGAGAAAUCAGCAUGUCCUUUUUACUCUUAUAUUUAUGACCUUUACAUUUAGUGUGCCCAUCUAAUUCUAGAUCUUCAGAACAGAGAAAACCAAAUAUGGAGCCAUUGAAGGCCAGCUGAACAAGUUGUUCUAGAAGUGAAUUUCUCUAAUAAACAGCCUUUUAUUUUAGUUAUUAUUUGGGGAUUUGGAGGAGGAAUGAAGAGAUGCAGAAAGAUUUGUCAAGACAGGUCAUCAUGGGCAUGGAUAGGUGAAUUCCCAAGCACGUAGUGGAGGAAGAUGCUGUGCUUAAGCUCCCACACAGAUGAGCUGCAGCUGGAGAGAAUGACUGCCUGCUCCAUGGACCCAAGCAUGGAGAGUUCCCAUGCUGACCUCUCAGCUGCAAGGAGCUUCUGACAAAGCUUACUCCUAUAUGAUUUUGUGAGGCCUUCAAAGGGUGGAUUGAAGACACACUGCUCUGUACUUUCCCCUAGAGAAUAAGCAAAUAAUUUCUGCUUAUUUUGGCACUUCAGUCUACCAACAAAAAAGUCCUACUGCGGCAAAUUAGACUGUCAUUCUCAUAACAGGCUGACUUGAUUACUACAGUCGCAAAGCUUGUUUUGCAAUUCAAACCUUGUCAAACCAAAUCCAAAAUUAUUUUCCUGGAUAAAUCCAAUUAAAAUAUAAAUACUCAAUCAGAACACAUUUUCUGUAAUUACCAAGCGAUUCUGUGAAAAGACUGUUAAAGUAGGCUAAAUUGCCUCUCUUACCCUGCCAGCCCUUCCUGCCCUCCCAGGGGCACCUUUCUGAAACAGUGGUGUGCUUGGCAGGGAGGCAGGAGAUCAGCCUGCAUCUGCAGAGCUCCCCAUUUGGGGCUGGUUUGCAGGCAUCUGUGCUCCACUCAGCUCUAGUACUGCUCCAAAGGGAGAAAGGAUUCCUGACAACACAGUGUCUAAUGAAAAUGGACACCUCUCCUAUCCUCUUUUUUCAUUUGAGGUCCUCUCCUAGCUGGAUAUGCUUCUGUCAAAUCAGUCAAGGCAUCAGCAAGCUUUGCUCUGUGUUUGCAUAAAGACAGCAAUAUUUUAAAUUGUGAUAGUCAUUUGUCAUAUGCUUCUAUUUAAAUAAAAAGAAUUCUAUAAAAAUUUCCAUGUGCAAGUGUUAGAAGUUUCCUGUUUCUGUAAAGCUGGCAGACAUGUCAUCAGCACUACUAAUUCUGAGAAAACUGAAGAAAAAAUGCCAAUUUAUUUUUUUAACUGCUUUUUUUUGUUAGUUGGCCACCUUGAUGUUUGCAGUAGCUUUGUGUUUGUAGGGUCUGAUAUCUGAGUGGCAGCUUAAAUGUCUCAAAGAAUUCAUAACAGCCCCCCUCAUUUUUGUGUUACUAUUUUCCCCAAUUAAAAUCAUGGGGUAUCAGGCCAGGAUGAGGGUUUCACGAAAACCAGCUGCUAUGAAAAAUCCUUCUGAAGCAACAAGGUUGUGUACAGGAGUGAGUAUGUGUUCAGAUGCAUUUCUGAGGAAAGGUUUCUUCCAUCUAAAAAUGGCAGUUGGUUAAACUGAAUAUUUUCCAGGAAUGGCAUGGUUUUGACAAUAGCAACAAGAACACGGAUGUGAAGAACCUGGGCCAGGGCAAUUUUGUGGGAGGAGAAGGAAAGUCAUACCAGUCAGAUUCUUUGAGAGCAAAAGAGUUUUCCCACUACCCUGGAUGGUGUCUCACCGUGGAGCCAUUCUUUGUCCUCACUUUUCUGCUGGAGAUACUCCAUUUUAGAGAAUAAUCACAAGUUGUCUGGGCUGGGCUGCAGGAGAGAAGCUGUGGCUUGGAUGGGCUUGCAGGCAGAUGCUGGAGCUGAAGCCACAUGGGGAAGCUGAUACAGCUUUUUCCCAUGCCUGGAAAUACCAGUGCUUCUGCAGAUCUGGUUGUUGUGGGAUCAUCUCACUACUCUUUCCUGCUUUUAUUGGAAACUGCAAUUUUACACUUAAUUGUGAAAUAAACUAUCUGGUGAAUAUAGAAAUAAAAGACAUUGUGAAUGUUUUCAUAGACAAAAUUAUUGUUUUCUAGCCGGACUCUGACAUGACAAAAAGGUGACAGGCUGUUGUGGUGACCAAAGGCCUUCUGGAAUUCUCAAAGUUGAGCUCAGAUCCCCACAGCAUUUUUAGUGCUGUGUUUCACUUCAACCAGGCAAAGAGGAAAAGAAAGAAGUUCCCUAUCUCCAAAAUGUUCAUUCCCAUGCCAACAAGCAUCUUUGUACUGAUGAGACCUAGAUUAAGAAUUUAUGUAUCAUUAUAUUUCAAAGAUGCACUUUAAGGAUUUAUGUGUUACAACUUCCAGAGUAAUACAGACUGUACUUGUCCAGAGCUGUUUCUACAUUUCAUUUUUUCAACACAUGAUUACUCCAUACUUGCCUCAAGAUAAUUUGUGGAAAAUUUUAUAA
Non-coding RNA from Cyanistes caeruleus (blue tit), 3583 nucleotides. The record is from RefSeq and is a predicted model, not a curated record. NCBI's taxonomy places the organism in Eukaryota, Metazoa, Chordata, Aves, Passeriformes, Paridae.